GAUGAACGCUGGCGGCGUGCCUAAUACAUGCAAGUCGAGCGGUAAGGCUUUCACAGAUUAUUUAACCAGAUAAGUUCUUCGGAAAACUGUUUGCAGCGAUGAUUCCCGGCUAGGGAAUCAGAGUUGAAUAAUGCGUGAAAGUACACGAGCGGCGGACGGCUGAGUAACACGUAGGAACGUACCCCAAAGUGAGGGAUAAGCACCGGAAACGGUGUCUAAUACCGCAUGUGAUCUUCGGAUUAAAGCUUCGGCGCUUUGGGAACGGCCUGCGCAUGAUUAGCUUGUUGGUG
This 290-nucleotide ribosomal RNA is filed under the name uncultured bacterium. Its description in RNAcentral is "partial 16S ribosomal RNA". It matches the Rfam family "Bacterial small subunit ribosomal RNA", at positions 28 to 254 of the family's 1533-position model. The record is from RNAcentral.